AUUGAACGCUGGCGGCAUGCUUUACACAUGCAAGUCGAACGGCAGCGCGGGCUUCGGCCUGGCGGCGCGUGGCGAACGGGUGAGUAAUACAUCGGAACGUGCCCAGUAGUGGGGGAUAGCUCGGCGAAAGCCGGAUUAAUACCGCAUACGACCUGAGGGUGAAAGCGGGUGAUCUUCGGACCUCGCGCUAUUGGAGCGGCCGAUGGCAGAUUAGCUAGUUGGUGGGGUAAAGGCCUACCAAGGCGACGAUCUGUAGCUGGUCUGAGAGGACGACCAGCCACACUGGGACUGAGACACGGCCCAGACUCCUACGGGAGGCAGCAGUGGGGAAUUUUGGACAAUGGGCGAAAGCCUGAUCCAGCAAUGCCGCGUGUGUGAUGAAGGCCUUCGGGUUGUAAAGCACUUUUGGCGGGAACGAAAAGGACUGUGCCAAUACCACGGUUCGAUGACGGUACCCGCAGAAUAAGCACCGGCUAACUACGUG
Molecule: ribosomal RNA, 484 nt
Filed under: uncultured bacterium
Lineage: Bacteria
Description: partial 16S ribosomal RNA
Rfam family: Bacterial small subunit ribosomal RNA
Source: RNAcentral